AAGUCGUAACAAGGUUUCCGUAGGUGAACCUGCGGAAGGAUCAUUAACACAUCCUUUUCAAAUUCUCAAACGGCGAAUAACAGAGCCGUACCGGCAGAGGCCUAGGACGUUCUGCAUAGGAUCCCUUUCGUGAAAGGGAUCGGACUCCUAGGAUGUUUGUCCACCCGGGCAGUGCAAGCAAUUGCAUUGUUCGCUGUGUGAGGGGAUGCUCUGACCGGCCCGGUGCCCACAGCUCCUGUGCAUGCUGGCCUUUUUUUUUUAACCUUUCACUUGAUAGCACUUAGAAUGCUUGCCGGUGGCUUCCACUGAGGAUUUGAGCUCUUCGUGAGUUCGUCCGAUGCGGCGGUUCCGACCGGUCCAGCGACCCUUGAGCGAGUCCUUGUGGCUCUGUUCAUUGGAAUCUAAACACAACUCUUAACAGCGGAUAUCUCGGUUCUC
This 438-nucleotide unclassified non-coding RNA is filed under the name fungal sp. RNAcentral describes it as "partial internal transcribed spacer region". The stretch from base 1 to 46 matches the Rfam family "Eukaryotic small subunit ribosomal RNA", at positions 1786 to 1831 of the family's 1831-position model. Lineage: Eukaryota; Fungi. The record is from RNAcentral.